ACUCAACUCUCUCAAACUCUCACAAGCUCUCAACUCUCUCAAACUCUCACCUAUGAACUCUCACCUCUCUAUCUCAUUGUCGCCGGCCUCAAUGUCAUUGGCCCAACCGCUGACCCAUUCCGUCGAAGUCCCAACCCGACCCAAGCCCCAAGCUGUUGAUCCACGCCUCCGAUCCACGCCGUCGAUCCAUGCCUUCGACCCACGCCAACCCGACUCCGCCUCUGACCCAUCUCGACCUCUUCGCCUCUCUUCUCUUUUGUCUAACCCACCAAGUCCAAAUCUUGCUUGCUAACCCACGCCAACCCGACUCGCCUUCUCUGAUGCUCUAACCCAUCUCGGCCUUUAUGCCUCUCUUCUCUUCUGUCUGACCCACCAAUCUUGAGAUUGCUUGCUGAUCAGCAGAGAACAAAGCUAGAAUUUAAAGCUAUGAUGUUGAAGAUGGCAGUGGCAGAAUUUAAAGCUUACUUUGCCCAAGAGAAGAGUUUCUGAAGAAAGGGAGCUGCGUGAUGUACUCUAAAGAGAGAAAGAAUUUAAAGCUAGCUUUGCCCACAAUUUAAAGCUUGCUUCCAGUUGUUUUCUAAUGAGAAGUAAGGAGAGUUUUUGCUAAAGAGAAGCAAGAGAAAGAGAGAGAGCAAGCAAGGAAGAAAGUGAAACAGAGGAAAGAGAGAAAACAUUUUUUUGUUCAAUAGCUGAUUAUUAUAAUAGCUAAAAAUGUUUGAAGUGUGAAUAUGAAAUGCUACAGUGUUCUCUACUUGUAGAAAAGCACUGUAGCAAUUCUAAAAAAAAAAUGGAGAUGGAGAAGUUGUUCUCUACUUGUAGAGAAGCACUGUAAUAAUUCUAAAAAAAAAUGAAGAUGGAGAAGCUAUUGGAGUGGAUUUUGGGGUGUUUUCUCUAAAAUUGGCUUUAAAAAAGCCAUUGGAGAUGCUCUUAAAGGAAUUGGCUUAGUUUUUCCUAUCUUUGAGUAAGAAUGCUCUUUCCUUAUGGUU
Molecule: long non-coding RNA, 986 nt
Organism: Quercus lobata
Lineage: Eukaryota; Viridiplantae; Streptophyta; Magnoliopsida; Fagales; Fagaceae
Exons: 2
Source: RefSeq, a predicted model, not a curated record